GUUGUAUAGUUAAGUGACUAAGCGUACAAGGUGGAUGCCUUGGCAAUCAGAGGCGAAGAAGGACGUGCUAAUCUGCGAAAAGCUUGGAUGAGUCGAUAAGAGGCGUUUAAUCCAAGAUGUCCGAAUGGGGAAACCCAGUAGAUGAAGAAUCUACUAUCACUUACUGAAUCCAUAGGUAAGUGAGGCAAACCGGGAGAACUGAAACAUCUAAGUACCCCGAGGAAAAGAAAUCAACCGAGAUUUCGUUAGUAGCGGCGAGCGAACGCGAAGGAGCCUGUUAGUGAUAAUGACAGAGACAGAGGAACAAGCUGGGAAGCUUGGCGAUACAGGGUGAUAGCCCCGUACUCGAAGUCCAGGUUAUGGUACUAAGCUAACGACAAGUAGGGCGGGACACGUGAUAUCCUGUUUGAAGAUGGGGGGACCAUCCUCCAAGGCUAAAUACUCCUGAUUGACCGAUAGUGAACCAGUACUGUGAAGGAAAGGCGAAAAGAACCCCGGUGAGGGGAGUGAAAUAGAACCUGAAACCUUGUACGUACAAGCAGUGGGAGCCUUUUAAGGGUGACUGCGUACCUUUUGUAUAAUGGGUCAGCGACUUAUAUUUUGUAGCGAGGUUAACCGAAUAGGGGAGCCGAAGGGAAACCGAGUCUUAACUGGGCGUCUAGUUGCAAGGUAUAGACCCGAAACCCGGUGAUCUAGCCAUGGGCAGGUUGAAGGUUGGGUAACACUAACUGGAGGACCGAACCGACUAAUGUUGAAAAAUUAGCGGAUGACUUGUGGCUGGGGGUGAAAGGCCAAUCAAACCGGGAGAUAGCUGGUUCUCCCCGAAAUCUAUUUAGGUAGAGCCUUGAGCGGACACCUUCGGGGGUAGAGCACUGUUUCGGCUAGGGGUCCAUCCCGGAUUACCAACCCGAUGCAAACUACGAAUACCGAAGAGUGAUACUCAGGAGACACACGGCGGGUGCUAACGUCCGUCGUGGAGAGGGAAACAACCCAGACCGCCAGCUAAGGUCCCAAAGUCUAUAUUAAGUGGGAAACGAAGUGGGAAGGCUUAGACAGCUAGGAUGUUGGCUUAGAAGCAGCCAUCAUUUAAAGAAAGCGUAAUAGCUCACUAGUCGAGUCGGCCUGCGCGGAAGAUGUAACGGGGCU
Molecule: ribosomal RNA, 1146 nt
Filed under: Parahaemophilus parainfluenzae
Lineage: Bacteria; Pseudomonadati; Pseudomonadota; Gammaproteobacteria; Pasteurellales; Pasteurellaceae
Description: Haemophilus parainfluenzae bacterial LSU rRNA
Rfam family: Bacterial large subunit ribosomal RNA
Source: RNAcentral